RNAcentral lists this ribosomal RNA (1026 nucleotides) under Parengyodontium album. RNAcentral's name for it is "SSU rRNA". It matches the Rfam family "Eukaryotic small subunit ribosomal RNA", at positions 77 to 1114 of the family's 1831-position model. Lineage: Eukaryota; Fungi; Ascomycota; Sordariomycetes; Hypocreales; Cordycipitaceae. The record is from RNAcentral.
UACAGCGAAACUGCGAAUGGCUCAUUAUAUAAGUUAUCGUUUAUUUGAUAGUACCUUACUACUUGGAUAACCGUGGUAAUUCUAGAGCUAAUACAUGCUAAAAAUCCCGACUUCGGAAGGGAUGUAUUUAUUAGAUUAAAAACCAAUGCCCUCUGGGCUCUUUGGUGAUUCAUGAUAACUUCUCGAAUCGCACGGCCUUGCGCCGGCGAUGGUUCAUUCAAAUUUCUUCCCUAUCAACUUUCGAUGUUUGGGUAUUGGCCAAACAUGGUUGCAACGGGUAACGGAGGGUUAGGGCUCGACCCCGGAGAAGGAGCCUGAGAAACGGCUACUACAUCCAAGGAAGGCAGCAGGCGCGCAAAUUACCCAAUCCCGACACGGGGAGGUAGUGACAAUAAAUACUGAUACAGGGCUCUUUUGGGUCUUGUAAUUGGAAUGAGUACAAUUUAAAUCCCUUAACGAGGAACAAUUGGAGGGCAAGUCUGGUGCCAGCAGCCGCGGUAAUUCCAGCUCCAAUAGCGUAUAUUAAAGUUGUUGUGGUUAAAAAGCUCGUAGUUGAACCUUGGGCCUGGCUGGCCGGUCCGCCUCACCGCGUGUACUGGUCCGGCCGGGCCUUUCCCUCUGUGGAACCUCAUGCCCUUCACUGGGUGUGACGGGGAAACAGGACUUUUACUUUGAAAAAAUUAGAGUGCUCCAGGCAGGCCUAUGCUCGAAUACAUUAGCAUGGAAUAAUGAAAUAGGACGUGUGGUUCUAUUUUGUUGGUUUCUAGGACCGCCGUAAUGAUUAAUAGGGACAGUCGGGGGCAUCAGUAUUCAAUUGUCAGAGGUGAAAUUCUUGGAUUUAUUGAAGACUAACUACUGCGAAAGCAUUUGCCAAGGAUGUUUUCAUUAAUCAGGAACGAAAGUUAGGGGAUCGAAGACGAUCAGAUACCGUCGUAGUCUUAACCAUAAACUAUGCCGACUAGGGAUCGGACGAUGUUAUUUUUUGACGCGUUCGGCACCUUACGAGAAAUCAAAGUGCUUGGGCUC